This 237-nucleotide unclassified non-coding RNA is filed under the name uncultured Agaricales. Its description in RNAcentral is "sequence contains ITS1". Lineage: Eukaryota; Fungi; Basidiomycota; Agaricomycetes; Agaricales. The record is from RNAcentral.
UUGAAUAAAAUUGGUUGGGCUGUUGCUGAUCCUCCAGGAUAUGUGCACGCCUAGCACCAACUUUUACCACCUGUGCACCUCCUGUAGGCUCUGGAAUAUAUCUCGAGGUUAGCCUCGGUUUUAGGGUUUGCUGUGCUUCUAUGUCAGCUGCCCUUGUAAUUCUGGUCUAUGUACUUUUUAUAUACACCGCAUGCCACAGAAUGUUAUUGACAGGCUUUGUUGCCUUUAAAUCUAAUA